This 387-nucleotide ribosomal RNA is filed under the name uncultured bacterium. RNAcentral's name for it is "bacterial SSU rRNA". It matches the Rfam family "Bacterial small subunit ribosomal RNA", at positions 28 to 417 of the family's 1533-position model. The record is from RNAcentral.
GACGAACGCUGGCGGCGUGCUUAACACAUGCAAGUCGAGCGGUAAGGCCCUUUCGGGGGUACACGAGCGGCGAACGGGUGGGUAACACGUGGGUGACCUGCCCUCAGCUCUGGGAUAAGCCUGGGAAACCGGGUCUAAUACCGGAUAUGACUCCAUGACGCAUGUUGUGGGGUGGAAAGCCUUGUGCGGCUGAGGAUGGGCCCGCGGCCUAUCAGCUUGUUGGUGGGGUGAUGGCCACCAAGGCGACGACGGGUAGCCGGCCUGAGAGGGCGACCGGCCACACUGGGACUGAGACACGGCCCAGACUCCUACGGGAGGCAGCAGUGGGGAAUCUUGCGCAAUGGGCGAAAGCCUGACGCAGCGACGCCGCGUGAGGGAUGACGGCCU